This 496-nucleotide ribosomal RNA is filed under the name uncultured bacterium. RNAcentral describes it as "partial 16S ribosomal RNA". It matches the Rfam family "Bacterial small subunit ribosomal RNA", at positions 30 to 523 of the family's 1533-position model. The record is from RNAcentral.
UUGAACGCUGGCGGCAGGCCUAACACAUGCAAGUCGAGCGCGAAAGUUCUUCGGAAUGAGUAAAGCGGCGGACGGGUGAGUAACGCGUGGGAAUCUGCCUAGUAGUGGGGGACAACAGCCGGAAACGGCUGCUAAUACCGCAUACGCCCUACGGGGGAAAGGGGGGGAUCUUCGGACCUCUCGCUCUUAGAUGAGCCCGCGUCGGAUUAGCUAGUUGGUAGGGUAAAGGCCUACCAAGGCUACGAUCCGUAACUGGUCUGAGAGGAUGAUCAGUCACACUGGAACUGAGACACGGUCCAGACUCCUACGGGAGGCAGCAGUGGGGAAUAUUGGACAAUGGGGGCAACCCUGAUCCAGCCAUGCCGCGUGUGUGAAGAAGGCCUUAGGGUUGUAAAGCACUUUCAGUGGGGAGAAAGGUUUGUCACCUAAUACGUGAUGAAAUUGAUGUUACCCACAGAGGAAGCACCGGCUAACUCCGUGCCAGCCGCCGCGGUAA